UAGUGGAAGACUUAAGAUGGCGGCGUUUGCACGGAGUGCAAUCACUGCGUCCUUACGGGGGUUGCAAGGCGUCCGAAGUAUGAGUCCACUAACAAAAGUCCAGAAACUCGCCAGUUAAUAGUAUUGUGUCUCUUCAAAAUAUCGGAGAAUAAUUUCUUUCUCGCUGAUCGCCUAACUUCUACUGACGAAGCUUGGAAGUUGCAGAAGGUUGGAGUGCAAUGGCGCGAUCUCGGCUGACUGCAACCUCCACCUCCUGGAUUCAAGCUAUUCUCCUGCCUCAGCCUGCCGAGUAGCUGGGAUUACAGGCAUGUGCCACCGCACCCAGCUAAUUUUGUAUUUUUUAGUAGAGAUGGGGUUUCUCCAUGUUGGUCAGGCUGGUCUUGAACUCCUGACCUCAGGUGAUCCGCCCACCUCAGCCUCCCAAAGUGCUGGGAUUACAGGCGUGAGCCACCGCGCCCGGCCAGAACAUUAGUUUUAAACUUCCUAACCCUUGGGAGAAGGCAAAACACUUGAUGAAAUCUACAUAAAGACUAAAACAUUUUACCAAUUUUGCAUUGUUUGUUUGAAAUUGCAUUGACGACUGAUGGAGUUCGCUCUUGUUGCCCAGGCUGGAAUGCAAUGGCAUGACCUUGGCUCACUGCAACCUCUGCCUCCCCAGUUCAAGUGGUUCUCCUGCCUCAGCCUCCCGAGUAGCUGAGAUUACAGGUACUGGCUCCUGUAUCACCCAGCUCUGGAGUUGAAAGAGCUCUUCAUUCCUGAGUCUCCUGUACCACUGAGAAUAGAAAUACAAAAAAAAUUCUAAAACUUGUAUGGAACUACAAAAGACAUUAAAUAAUCAAAGUAAUCUUGAGCAACAAGGACACAGCUGGAGGCAUCACUCUACCUGAUUUUGUAAUCCAUUAUCAAAAAACUGUGGUACCAGCAUAAAAACAGAUUCACUGACCAGUGGAACAGGAAAGCCCAGACAUAACUCAUACAUUUCCAUCCAAUUGAUUUUUGACAAAAGUGGCACACAGAAUGGGGAGAGGACAAAUAAAUAAAUAAAUUGUUUUGAGAUAUCUGUAUAUCUAUAUGUGAAAUUGAACCAUUUUCUCAUAGCAUAUAGAAAAAUCAACUCAAAAUGGAUUAAAGCCUGAAAUGUUGCCUUUGAAACUGUAAAACUACUAGUAGAAAAUAUAGGGGAAAAGCUCUAUGAUGUUGUUCUGGGCAAUGAUUUCUUGGAUACAUCCUUAAAAGCAUGGGCAGCAAAAACAGCCAGACAACUAUCAGGGAACCUGCCCAGAUAGUCACAUAGGUUCUUUUCUAUUUUCCCUAAGCAUUGGCCGGGUUGAGAAAUAAAGGGACAGAGUACAAAAGAGAGAAAUUUUAAAGCUGGGCAUCCUGGGGAGACAUCACAUGUCGGUAGGUUCCGUGAUGCCCCCUGAGCCGUAAAACCAGUAAGUUUUUAUUAGGGAUUUUCAAAGGGGAGGGAGUAUACGAAUAGGAGGUGGGUCACAGAGAUCACGUGCUUCACAAGGUAAUAGAAUAUCACAAGGCAAAUGGAGGCAGGGCGAGAUCACAGGACCACAGGACUGGGUUGAAAUUAAAAUUGCUAAUGAAGUUUCGGGCACCAUCGUCAUUGAUAACAUCUUAUCAGGAGACAGGGUUUGAGAGCAACCUGUCUGACCAAAAUUUAUUAGGUGGGAAUUUCCUCGUCCUAAUAAGCCUGGGAGCGCUAUGGGAGACUGGGGCUUAUUUCAUCCCUACAGUCUCGACCAUAGAAGACAGCUACACCCAAGGGGGCCAUUUUAGAGGCCCACCCUCAGGGGCACAUUCUCUUUCUCAGGGAUGUUCCUUGCUGAGAAAAAGAAUUCGGCGAUAUUUCUCCCAUUUGCUUUUGAAAGAAGAGAAAUAUGGCUCUGUUCCGCCUGGCUCACCGGCGGUCAGAGUUUAAGGUUAUCUCUCUUAUUCCCUGAACAUUGCUGUUAUCCUGUUCUUUUUUCAAGGUGCCUAGAUUUCAUAUUGUUUAAACACACAUGCUCUACAAUUUCUGCACUUAACACAAUUAUCACAGGGUCCUGAGGCGACAUACGUCCUCCUCGGCUUACGAGAUGACAGGAUUAAGAGAUUAAAACAGGCAUAGGAAAUCACAAGGGUAUUGAUUGGGGAAGUGAUAAGUGUCCAUGAAAUCUUCACAAUUUAUGUUUAGAGAUUGCAGUAAAGACAGGCAUAAGAAAUUAUAAAAGUAUUAAUUUGGGGAACUAAUAAAUGUCCAUGAAAUCUUCACGAUCCACGUUCUUCCGCCAUGGCUUCAGCCAGUCCCUCCGUUUGGGGUCCCUGACUUCCCGCAACAGACAACUUGAGUUGCAUCAAACUAAAAAGCAUCUGCACUGCAAAGGGUACAGUUAACAGAAUGAAGACACGGGUUUUGAGAAACCAUUUUCAAAUCAUAUAUCUGAUAAGGGGCUAAUAUCCAAAAUGUAUUAAGAAACCCAAGCCCAAUAGCAAGAAAACAACUGUCUUUAAAAGGGGGAAAAGGACCUCAACUUAAAUUUUUCAGAGGAAGACAUGAGUGGCCAAUUGAUUGAUACAUGAAAAAAAUGCUCAACAUCUCUAAUCAUUAGUGAGUUGCAAAUCAAAACUGCAAGAUAUUACCUUACACCUUUUAGAAUGGCUAUUAUUAAAAGGAUGAAAGACAGGUGCUGGCAAGGAUGUGGAUAAAAGGAAGUCCCAACAUUCUGUUAGUGGGAAUAUAAAUUAGUAUAGCCAAUUUAGGAAACUAUAUGGUGGUUCCUUAAGAAACUAAAAGUACAAUUACUAUAUGAUCUAGCAAUCUCUACUUAGGUAUAUAUCCAAAGGAAUUGAAGCAGUAUGUUGAGAUCUUGCACUCCCUUAUUUUGAAAUUAUUUACAAAGCUAAUAAAUGGAAAAGACUUAAGUUUUCAUAACAGAUGAAUGGACAUAGAAGAUGUGUUGUAUAUACAUAUUGGAAUAUUUUUUAUCCUUGGAAAAGAAGGAAAAUUGUCAUUUGUGACAACAUGGAUGAAUCUGUAGUAUACUAUGCUAAGUGUUGUAAGACAGGCACAGAGAGGCAAAUACUACAUUAUAUUUGUAUGUGGAAUCUAAGAAAGGCUAACUCAUACAAGUAGAAAGUUGGAUGUUAUGGUUUCCAGGAUGUGGGUGUUGGAGAGAUGGGCAAAGGCAAGACGUUGGUCAAAGAGUACCAAUUUUCUGUUAGGAGGAAUAAGUUUUAGACAUAUUUCACAGCAUGGUGACCAUUGUCACUGACUGUAUAUUUUAAAAUUGUUAUAAGUAGAUAUUAAAGUUGUCACAACAAAAGUAGGUGAAGUUAUGGAUAUGUUAAUGUGCUUGAUUUAGUUAUUACACUAUGUAUACAUACAAAAACAUCAGAUAGUUCCCUGGAAUUAUAUACAAUUAUUACUUGUCAAUUAUAAAAAAAAGCCCUACUGCAACCACUAAAAAGGAUUUUCAUAUAAUAGAGGGAAAAAUCGUUAAAGAUAAUAAUACAUUAUUUUAGAAAAUAUUAACUUAUAAAAAGUAGUAUAGGAGGGAUUCUGUAAAAGAAGAUAGACAUAGAAUUUUAAAAUGUAUAAUGGAAAAUUUAAAUCCAGCUGUACUGAUGGAUCAAGCAAUCCAAACCAGUCUGAUUGACCAAGUGGAUAUUUAAAAAACAAUCAAACUAUAAGGUGUCUGUUGUAGGCAGUUUAUAAAAUACAAAAGUGUUGAAAGAAAUAGGAUGGAAAUAGAAAUAUCCAAGUAGCAACCACAAAAAAACUGGAAUGUCUGCACUAACAUCAUACAAAACAAACCAAAUGAAGGUUAAAAAUAUUGAAAUUAUACAAAAUAUGUUCUAUGACUAAAAUUUAAUGAAAUUAGAAAUAACACAGAGAUAGGAACUAUACAUAUUUGUGCAAAUUUAAAAAGUUAUGCUGAGUGUGGUGGCUCACACCUGUAAUCCCAGCACUUUGGGAGGCCGGGGAGGGUGGAUCACUUGAAGUCAGGAGUUGGAGACCAGCCUGGCCAACAUGGUGAAACCCUGUCUCUACUAAAAAUACAGAAAAUUAGCCAGAUGUGGUGGUGUGCGCCUGUAGUCCCAGCUACUCGGGUGGCUGAGGCACUAGAAUCACUUGAGCCUAGGAGGCAGAGGUGGCAGUGAGCCGAGAUCACACCACUGCACUGCAGCCUGGGCGACAAAGACUGUCAAAAAAAAAAAAAAAAAAAAAAAGUUACGUAACCAACAAGUCAAAGGAGAAUUUAUAAGGAAAUCAGAAAAUACUUUGAGGUGAAUGAAAAUACAGAAACAACAUAUCAAAUUCUGUGAGAUGUGUGAAAGCAACGCUUACAGUGAAAUUAAUAGCUAUGAACAUUGUAAUGAAAUGAGAAGUACUUCAAAUUACUAACCUAACUUUCCAACUUUAGAAAAUACAGUAAAAAAAGAACAAAUUAAAAUCAAAGCAGAAAGGAUAUAAAGUUUAGUGUGGAAAUAGAGAAUUAAAAAUAAUUGAGAAACACAGCACUUCGUUGACUUAUUCAUAAAAUAAAGCUUUAUUAAAAUGAGAAAUGUAAAACGUGAUGUUCCUAAUGACCUUAUUCCAUACAAGGGAUUAGUAUUUUGACAAAUAUCUUUGUGGAAGUAGACAAAUUCCUAGAAAGACACUGACUACCACAACUCAUUCAAGAACAAAGUGAAGACAAUAAAUUGGUAAUUUAAAAACUCUCACCCCUGCCCCUGACACACAUGUAAAUUCCCAGUUCAAAUGUAUUCUUUUGUAUAUUAUACCAAACACAUGAAAAUUACCAAUUCGAUAAAAAUGUCUUAAAAACUUGGAAGAGCAUGUAAUAUUUUUUACUGGUUCUAUGAUGCUAUUGUUAUCUAGAUACCAAAGUGAAACAUCAUACACAGGGAAAACUCUGAUAAUAUCGCUUAUGAGUGGAUCUGUGAAAUUUCCUAGUAAAUUUUGGCAAACCAAAUACAGUAACAUAUAAACAGGAAUGUACACCAGUACCCAGUACAGUGUAUCCCUGGAAUGCAACGUUAUUUCAUCAGCUGGAAAUGAUUAGUGCAACAGACUGAAGGAAGAAAACAACAUGGUCAUCUCAAUAGAUUGUGGACGGCUGGAAGUGGAGGCUCACGCCUGUAAUCCUAAUACUCCUACCAACAGUGUAUAAGCAUUCCUUUUUCUCUGUAACUUCACCAGAAUCUGUUUUUUUGUUUGUUUGUUUGUUUGUUUUUGACUUUGUAAUAGCCAUGGGCUGGGCUCAGUGACUCACGCCUGUAAUCCUAGCACUGGGGGAGGCUGAGGUGGGCGGAUCACUUGAGGUCAGGAGUUCGAGACCAGCCUGGCCAACAUGGUGAAACCCCAUCUCUACUAAAAAUACUAAAAUUACCUGUGCAUGGUGGCAAGUGCCUGUAAUCCCAGCUACUCGGGAGUCUGAGGCAGUAGAAUCACUUGAACCCAGGAGGUGGAGGUUGCAGUGAGCGGAGAUUGUGCCACUGCACUUGGACCUGGCUGACACAGCAAGACUAUGUUUAAAAAAAAAGAGAGAGAAAAAAAAAAUAGAAGGUGGAAAAAGUAUUUGGUAAACUAAGAAGUAAACCACAACCUAGUAAAGGGCAUAUUUUAAGAAUUCACAACUAGAACCUGGUGCCGUGGCUGUAAUCCCAGCACUUGGGGAAGCCAAAGCAGGAUUACUUGAGGCCAGAAGUCUGAGAUCAGCCUAGGCAAUAUAAGGAUACUCUGUAUCUUAAAAAAAAAAAAAAAAUCCAGAUGUGAUGACACAUGCCUGUACGCCUAGCUACUUGGGAAGCUGAGGUUCAUGUUUACAAUGAGCUAUGAUGAUGCCACUGUACUCCUGACUGAACAACAGAGUGAGACCCUGUCUCUAAAAAGCAAAACAAAACAGAAAACCCAAAACCCUCAAAACUAAUGUUACACUUAGUAUUUAAAGAAUGCUUUCUCUGUAAGAAGAGGAGCAAGGACAGGAUAAAACAUUCUUGCCAGUUCUGUUCAACAGUGUACUGGAAGUAUCUGUGACAUUAAUUGCAUUGCAUAUGGAAGGAAAUAAAAUUUUUUAAAUAGGAAGCAGCAAAACCUUUUGCAGAUGACAUGGUUUUGUACAUACACAACCCCAGUGGAUCCAAUAAAUUUGGAUUCCAAUAACAAGAUCAUCUCAGCAAGUUUUUGUGAUUUAAGAUUACAAUCCAAAAAUCAGUUGUAUUUCUAUAUAUUAUUAAAGAAGUCAAAAGUGACAUCAUUGAAACAUUUUUAUUUACAAUAUUAUUAAGGCAAAAUACUGUGGGAUAAAGUGAAAUUCAGCAUGAACUGUGAAUAACACAAAAUAUUUGUCAGAGGAGUUGAGGAAUAUCUACAUAUGUGGAAAGACAUCUCAUAUUUGUGGACUAGAAGAUUUAAGCAUCGCUAGGUGCGGUGGCUCACGCCUGUAAUCCCAGCACUUUGGUAGGCUGAGGUGGGCGGAUCACAAGGUCGGGAGUUCGAGACCAGCCUGGCCAAUAUGGUGAAACCCCGUCUCUACUAAAAAUACAAAAAAAUUAGGCGGGUGUGGUGGCGCAUGCCUGUAAUCCCAAUCCCUCUAGGCUGAGGCAGGAGAAUCUCUUGAUCCCGGGAGGCGGAGGUUGCAGUGAGCCAAGAUCGGGCCACUGCACUCCAGCCUGGGCAACAGAGCUAGGCUCCCUCUCAAAAAAAAAAAAAAAAAAGCAUCAAAAGGAUAGUUCAUUAAUGGAAAUAAUAAAUUGAAAAAGGGAAGGACAUCAAAGUUUAAUGCUUUUACUUUUUCAUAAUAACCAUAAAUAGUAUGAAAAUACAAACUAUAUUCAUGGAAAAUGUUUUGUUUUUAUUUUUUUUGAGACAGAAUUUUGCUCUUGUUUCCCAGGCUGGAGUGCAAUGGCACGAUCUCAGCUCACCACAACCUCUGCCUCCCGGGUUCAAGUGAUUCUCCUGCCUCAACCUCCCAAAUAGAUGGGAUUACAGGCAUGUGCCAGUACGCCCGCCUAAUUUUUUUGUUAUUUCUAGUAGAGAUGAGGUUUCUCCAUGUUGGUCAGGCUGGUCUCGAAUUCCCGACCUCAGGUAAUCUGCUCGCCUCUGCCUCCCAAAGUACUGGGAUUAUAGGUGUGAGCCACCAUGCCCGGCCCUUUGUUUUCAAAUCUCAUAUCCAACAUUGGACUUAUGGCUAGAAUAUUUACAUAAUUCUCAAAAGAUAGUAUUAAAAAUCCAAAGCUUUAAAUUAGAAAAUGGGCAAAAGUCAUGAAAGAACAUUCCCCUGAGGAUAGGGAAAUGUCAAUAAGGACAUGAUGGAAAUUAAUACUAUGAUGAGAUAUUACAGAAGAUUUAUUUUUCUUUGAGGCGGAGUCUGCCUCUGUCACCGAGGCUGGAGUGCAGUGGCAUGAUCUCAGCUCACUGCAACCUCCACCUCCCGGGUUCCAGCGAUUCUCCUGCCUCAGCCUCCCAAGUAGCUGGGAUUACAGGCGCCUGCCACCACGCCCAGCUAAUUUUUUUUUUUUUUUUUUUUUUUGUAUUUUUAGUAGAGACGGGGUUUCUCCAUGUUGGCCAAGCUGGUCUCAAACUCCUGACCUCAGGUGACCCACCUGCCUCAGCCUCCCAAAGUGCUGGAAUUAAGAGGUGUGAGCCACCACACCUGGCCUACAGCAGAUUUAUUUCAGUAGCUGAAAUAGUUAAAACAUAAUGAUUCCAAAGGCUGAGAAGCAUGCAGAAAAAAUUGAAUCUUUAUUGCUGAUGGGAAUAUAAAACUGUAUACCACAUUGGAAAAUAAUUUGGCAAUUUCUUUUAAAGCUAAACACACACAUACAGUUAGUUAGGCUUAGCAAUUGCUGUCAUGGCCUAUUUCAUAGAAAUGAAAAUUUAUGUGUAGACCAAACCUGCACUUGACUGUUCACAGAAAUUUUAUUUGUAAUAGUCAGAACCUGGAAACAACUCACAUGUUAUUCACCAGGUAAACAGUUAAAUAAGUCUGUUAUUUCCGUAUUGUGUAAUACAACUCAAAAAUUAAAAGGAAUAAACUACUACUAUACAAAUAAGCCUUAGAUGAUUCUCAAUUCUGAAGGAAAAACCCAUUUCAAGUUGUAACAUAAUGCUUAUUUUUAUGUAUCUUAAUGUGAUGAAGUUAAAUAGUUUAGAGAACAUUGUUCGUAUUCAUCUGUUAGGGAUGGUAGAAGUUAGGGUUGUAUGUGAUUAUAAGACUAGUGGAAGGGAUACGUUUUUAAUGAUGGAUGAGUUCUGCAUUCUGAUUCAUGCAGUGGUUACAAAAAUGUAUACAUGUGAUAAAAUGUCAUGUAAAUGUGCACAUUUCACCAAUGACAAUGUGCUGGUUGUGAUAUUGUACAAUGUUAAUGGAAAAUAUCACCACUGGGGAAAAUUGAGUGGUAUGUGUAAACGGUACUAUAUUUGCAGCAUUUUGUGAGUCUUUAUUUUAACAUAAUAUGUAAAUAUGUAAAGCAACUAGAAGAAUGGUUUUAAUACAGGAGAGUAACAGCUUAUAAGCAAGAGAAAGAAAAAUGAUAAAUAAUGUGAACACUUACCAAAGGAAGGGUGGAACAGAGAAAUAAAGGACAGGGAAAAUUAUCUGGGAUGAUUCCUAAAUUCCAAUAUUUGGAUGGAACUAUACAGAAUUUUAAUAUAUCUGGAAAAUAAACUGAAAAUAUUAACGGAUCCACAGAUAUUGAAGACUUAACCUUUUUUAUCUCAUUAUUCAUUAAAACAAGUGAAAUGUUAUAGGGAAUUCUUCAAAUUGAAAGAAGCAGCUCAUGCAUAACACAAAAACAUGAAUGUAUAAAACUGACUGGUAAAAGGUAAGUAACUCAAAUUCACAGUACUGGUAUACUGUAAUGGUGGUGUACAAAUAACGUAUAUCUUUAUUGUUAAGGUUAAUACACAAAACUUUUUUAAUGAGAUGGCUGUUGCUAUGUUGCUCAGGCUGGUCUGAAACUUCUGGGCUCAAGCAAUUUUCCCCCCUCAGCCUUCUGAUUAGACGGUAUUAUGGGCACCUGCCAUGAUGUCCAUCUACAAAACUAUUAAUAAUUACAACAAUUUGUUUAGCCAUAUGUGAUAUAAAUAUAUGUAAGGUGUGACAUCAAGAACAUAAUGGGUCACCAAAAUCUCAGAGUAAAAACACUCUGGUUUUACUCACCCCCAUAGAACCUCAGUAAUAUAUCCAGCACCAAUAUUAUCACAAGUUAUAUCCCAGAACUGAAAUCCGAGGCUGAGACAUUUCCUCAGACUACAGAGAAGUGAAAAACUUGGAGCAGAUGAUAAAAGGCUUCUUCUGUAUUUAUGAGACUCCUAUGUGCCUGCCAUCAUGUGUGGAAAAUUUUAUCGACAUUCACCAGUUCAACAUGGGAUAAAUGUGAGAUUUUGGCACACAGCUUCUUCACCAUCUUGGCUUCUCUUGUUGAAAAGCUGUUAAUAGCUUAAAACAUGGGAAGUAUUGUGUGUGCUUGUAGAAAGAAAAUCCCAUGAUGGCAGUGAAAGACAAUUGGGCCAGUUGAGAUUCACAACUCCAGCCUGAAAAUUUUCUUUACGUCAGACAACAUAGAUGCCAAGUCAGAGUGGCUGUUCAGCAGCACUAUAAUGUAGUAGGCAGAGUUCAUAGUUCUUUGCACAAAUGCCUAUCCAACCUUCCUGCACAGCCAGAGGAUUGACUUUGGGACCCCUAUAUGGGAUGGGCAAUGCUCCAAAUGUUUGUGAGAGCUGAGUCAAAUCUAAAACAGGCAGCACUCACGGAUUAAGUAGUCUUGACAGGGAACUACAAAUAAUAAUAUCUAAGAAAAUAUACUCUAGGAAGACCAAAAAAAG
RNAcentral lists this long non-coding RNA (9826 nucleotides) under Homo sapiens (human). RNAcentral describes it as "HSALNT0408071". The stretch from base 1 to 129 matches the Rfam family "JPX transcript, XIST activator conserved region 1". Lineage: Eukaryota; Metazoa; Chordata; Mammalia; Primates; Hominidae. The record is from RNAcentral.